GAGUCCACAUAUUAUAAAAACAAUCAACCCGCAGAGUCUACAUGAAGUAUAGACAGCAACGUUUAACUGUUCAUAGGAUUUCAAGGAUACUUUUUUGAGUCCAAAUGGCGAGAAAUUGGAAAAGACUAAGAAGCUUGUGGUCGGAGUAAAAUGUAAGACAAGAAAAGCUUGCCAAAUGUAAAAUGCAACAAAUAUUUACCAUUCAUGACAGAAAAGAGCUUGUGGUCGGAGUGAAAUGCAGAUUGAAAAGCUGAAUCCGAGUAUAGGCCGGCCCAAUAGGUCGAUUGGCUGUAGAUCGAGUGGGCCGAAUUAAAUUGACAGGCCCUAUAGAUCGAAUGGGCCUUAUGUCGUUAAAGCGACAGCGCAAAGGGUCUAGGCCUAACGAAAUGGGCCAUUCUUAAGAGCCCAAACUAGGUCAUUUUGAUAACGCGUCUGAACCUAUAUAGGGCCUCAAAGGCUUUCCAUUAAUUAUGUACAUAGUUUCCAAAUUGGUCAAUUUGGGCCCGGUCCAUUAACAGCCUCGCUUUUUUCCCCACCAUUGUCAAACGUCUGUGUGUGUGGGCUACAAACAACUCUCUCUCUCUCUCUCUCUCUCUCUCUCUCUCUCUCUAUCUCUCACGCGCCAUUGGCGGGGUCUUGGAGCUCUUGGCCGUGAGGCGCGCCAUUGGCGGGUUCUUCGCGGUGAGGCGCCCAUGGCGUCUUUCUAAAGCGGCCCCGGGGCGAUUUCUCCCGUAACCAAUCCGUGGCCACCAACGCCUCUCGAUUUGAUUCCUCCCGAUCUCCUCGACGACGUCAAUUUGGUCCAAAUCCUAAACGGUGGCGAAACCCUAAGUACCCUCAGUUUUAUUCGCCGAAUGUUUUACAGGAGGUGAUUAUUGCAGAAAGCAAGAGCAAAAACUAGCUCAAGAGGCACUUUUAUCGCAGAGGAAGUAAUAGUUAAGAAAAUAGAUGAUUAGAGAGAUAUGUGGAUGCCUGGAAGAAGCCCCAUUCUUUGCAGGCGAGAUCGAGUCUUUUUCGUUCAUCUUCGUGUCCGCCCGAAAGCAAAGAGAAAUCAAUAACAGGGAUAUCAGGUGUGAUAGCAGAGACCACCCCUCUAUCUUUUGGCCUUUCGGCAUGAUCUCUGAUGUAUCUUUCAGGUACAGAGCUUGGAUCUCUCCUUACAAGCUCCUGAACACUCUGCACAGGAAGAGAUUUUCCCCAUCCUAGCCCUUCUUCUUCUUCUUCUUCUUCUUCUUCUUGUUCUUUGUAAGAGGCUCCGUUCUCCAUCCCAAGCUCCAUGUCUUCACUCCUAUUAUUUAGCUUAUUACCUUCUCUCAGCUUUAUAUGAAAAUUCAUGCUCAUCUACUGUACAUGAUGUUGUUGAAUUUGUAGCUUUGUUGAAUAUUCCGGUUAUGAAGAUAAAGCUUGAGCUAGUGAAAGAUUUGUUU
Ananas comosus (pineapple) is the source of this 1427-nucleotide long non-coding RNA. RefSeq lists it as uncharacterized. The transcript has 2 exons. NCBI's taxonomy places the organism in Eukaryota, Viridiplantae, Streptophyta, Magnoliopsida, Poales, Bromeliaceae. The record is from RefSeq and is a predicted model, not a curated record.